RNAcentral lists this ribosomal RNA (253 nucleotides) under uncultured bacterium. RNAcentral describes it as "partial 16S ribosomal RNA". It matches the Rfam family "Bacterial small subunit ribosomal RNA", at positions 524 to 776 of the family's 1533-position model. The record is from RNAcentral.
UACGAAGGGGCUAGCGUUGUUCGGAAUUACUGGGCGUAAAGCGCGCGCAGGCGGUUCUCCAAGUCAGAGGUGAAAGCCCAGAGCUCAACUCUGGAAUGGCCUUUGAGACUAGAGAACUUGGGUACGGGAGAGGUGAGUGGAAUUCCGAGUGUAGAGGUGAAAUUCGUAGAUAUUCGGAAGAACACCAGUGGCGAAGGCGGCUCACUGGCCCGUUACCGACGCUCAGGCGCGACAAGCGUGGGGAGCAAACAGG